CCGGCCCCUCACUACUCGCGCGCUGCCGACGCCGGACCCCCGCCCCUCACUACCCGCGCAGCCAGCGCCAGACCCCUGCCUCUCCCUACCCGCGCGCUACCGCCACCUUCCUCUGCGACGCCGCCACGUCCUCGUCGUCCUCCAUUGCCCAUCCAGCCUCCUCCUUCCGCAUCGCCGUCAACCUCUCCAUCUUGCCACCACAACCUCCCCCUCCCCCUGGCGCACCGCGGGGACCUCCCCUUCAUCCAGCGCGCGGCUAUGUCAACUUGCUCGAGCUCCACCGCCCGCCUCCCGAGCACCAUCAGUCAGCUACCACCGAACUGACGCCCCCUUCUCCCAGGAAUCACCGCCGUCGGGACUUGCUUCCUGCGCCCCGCCACCUCCCAGGGACCCAACGCGCUGCCGCUCCUCUGAUUCUUCUCCCCGGCUCUGCUUGCAAUUCUUCCGCCGACACCAAUGGCCUGCCCUUUCUCUCUCCCUUUGGUUCGAGAAGCAGCAACUGCUGGGCCUGCAGUGCCGCCAUCUGAAGACAGGGGAGAUGGCCAUAAUUCCCUUAUGGUAAUUAUGCAGGUGCAGAACCUUCUGAGCGCAUGACAGCCUCGUCCGUCCAAGUUGAGCACUGGGCGCCGUACGAGUAGAGCACCGCGCCUCGUCCAAGUUCCCAUCUAAUGUUGAAUAAUAUACCGCUGAGUGCUAUUGACGGAAUUGAGGCUUCGCCAAGGAACAAGACUGGUAACUAGCGCAAAGGAGACUAUGUCGAGAGGUGGCACUGCUAGACUUGCUGAUGUGUAGUUAUGGCAUAAAAAGAUGAAAACAAUGGUAUCUUGUAUGAUUCCAUAAGGUGCACGUAGAAAAUCUUCCCAUGUGGAUCUGUACAAAUUGUAAAUGGAUCAGCCCAUAACAUGCAAAUCUUCCCAUGUCGA
This is a long non-coding RNA of Triticum aestivum (bread wheat), 923 nucleotides long. RefSeq lists it as uncharacterized. The transcript has 3 exons. The record is from RefSeq and is a predicted model, not a curated record. Lineage: Eukaryota; Viridiplantae; Streptophyta; Magnoliopsida; Poales; Poaceae.